UAAGGGCUCACCAAGGCGACGAUCCCUAGCUGGUCUGAGAGGAUGAUCAGCCACACUGGAACUGAGACACGGUCCAGACUCCUACGGGAGGCAGCAGUGGGGAAUAUUGCACAAUGGGCGCAAGCCUGAUGCAGCCAUGCCGCGUGUAUGAAGAAGGCCUUCGGGUUGUAAAGUACUUUCAGCAGUGAGGAAGGGGUGUACGUUAAUAGCGUGCAUCUUUGACGUUAGCUGCAGAAGAAGCACCGGCUAACUCCGUGCCAGCAGCCGCGGUAAUACGGAGGGUGCGAGCGUUAAUCGGAAUUACUGGGCGUAAAGCGCAUGCAGGUGGUUUGUUAAGUCAGAUGUGAAAGCCCGGGGCUCAACCUCGGAAUUGCAUUUGAAACUGGCAGACUAGAGUACUGUAGAGGGGGGUAGAAUUUCAGGUGU
RNAcentral lists this ribosomal RNA (426 nucleotides) under Vibrio cincinnatiensis. RNAcentral's name for it is "bacterial SSU rRNA". It matches the Rfam family "Bacterial small subunit ribosomal RNA", at positions 258 to 676 of the family's 1533-position model. RNAcentral also lists the same sequence under 1 other name. The record is from RNAcentral. Lineage: Bacteria; Pseudomonadati; Pseudomonadota; Gammaproteobacteria; Vibrionales; Vibrionaceae.